Molecule: transfer RNA, 78 nt
Filed under: Candidatus Yonathbacteria bacterium
Lineage: Bacteria; Candidatus Yonathiibacteriota
Description: tRNA-Asp
Rfam family: tRNA
About the family: Transfer RNA (tRNA) molecules are approximately 80 nucleotides in length.
Source: RNAcentral
GCGGGCGUAGCUUAGCUGGCUUAAAGCGCCUCCCUGUCACGGAGGAGAUCGAGGGUUCAAAUCCCUUCGCUCGCGCAA